AGUGUAUAUAUAUGUGUGUGUGUGUGUGUGUGUAUGUAUAUGUGUGUAUAUAUAUAUAUACACACACACACACACACACACACACACACUAUAUAUA
Non-coding RNA from Pelobates cultripes (western spadefoot toad), 97 nucleotides. The record is from the annotation of a GenBank genome assembly. Lineage: Eukaryota; Metazoa; Chordata; Amphibia; Anura; Pelobatidae.